RNAcentral lists this ribosomal RNA (775 nucleotides) under uncultured Neocallimastigales. Its description in RNAcentral is "partial large subunit ribosomal RNA". It matches the Rfam family "Eukaryotic large subunit ribosomal RNA", at positions 24 to 643 of the family's 3401-position model. Lineage: Eukaryota; Fungi; Neocallimastigomycota; Neocallimastigomycetes; Neocallimastigales. The record is from RNAcentral.
UAUGUGAUCGUCUCUCGCAUAUCAAUAAGCGGAGGAAAAGAAACUAACAAGGAUUCCCCUAGUAACGGCGAGUGAAGCGGGAAGAGCUCAAAUUUGAAAUCUUAAAGGGUUUCCCUUUACGAAUUGUAGUUUAAAGAAGUGUUUUCUGUUGAGGUUUCGGUAAAAGUUCUUUGGAAUAGGACAUCAUAGAGGGUGAGAAUCCCGUAUUUGACCUUUACUUUCAACUUUGUGAUACACUUUCAAGGAGUCGGAUUGUUUGGGAAUGCAGUCCAAAAUGGGUGGUAAAUUUCAUCUAAAGCUAAAUAUUGGCGAGAGACCGAUAGCGAACAAGUACCGUGAGGGAAAGAUGAAAAGAACUUUGAAAAGAGAGUUAAACAGUACGUGAAAUUGUCAAAAGGGAAGCGUUUGACACCAGUGUUGUUUUUCUGAAAAUCAAUUAAAGAACUGUUUAUGCUAAGUUGUUUAGACUUUAUCAGCUAAUCUGUUUAGUUUUGAGCUUUUCUUUAAUGCACUUUUCAGUUAACAAGUCAACAUCAAUUUCUUUUGCUGUAAAAAAGCUUGAGGAAGGUGGCUUGAGAUUCGUCUUAAGUGUUUAUAGCCUCUUGCCUAUGCAGUCGGAGAGAUUGAGGUCUGCAGCGUAGAUCCUUCGGGGCUAAAUGCAUUUGUGCUAAGUUAUAGCAUUUUAUAGACAACUUGUUGACUAUGAUUUGUCUUGUAGCUUACUCGCUUAUGUUAUUUUACCUACGCUUAGGAUGUUGAUAUCGCGCUCUCACUG